UGGAUGUGCAGGGUGUGUGGGAGAUGGGGUGCACAAGUGUGACAGGUACAGGAUGAAUGGCAUGUGGCCUUGCUGCACGUGCAGUGCGAGGGGUGGGUGACGUGCUGCGUGUGCACCACUGCAGUGUGCUGUGCAUGCAGUGAGCUGUGAGUGUGCACUGCAGUGUGAAGGGUGUGCACAGUGCACAUUCACUGUGGGAGGUGUGAGCUGUGCAGUGCGGUGUGUGCAUGUGCAGGGCACAGUCACAGUGUGUGAGCUCUGCAGUGCAGUGUGUGUGUGCAGUGAAUGCUCACUAUGUGAGGUGUGAGCUCUUCAGUGCAGUGAGGCAUGUUCAGUGCAUGCUCAUUGCGGGAGGUGUGGGCUGUGCAGUGCAGUGAGGUGUGUGUGUACAGUGCACACUCACUGUGAAACUGUGAUUUCUGCAGUGCAAUGUGUAUGUGCAGGUCAUGCUCAUGGUGGGAAGUGUGAGCUGUGCAGCGCAGUGUGUGUAUGCAG
Long non-coding RNA from Pezoporus flaviventris, 495 nucleotides. RefSeq lists it as uncharacterized. The record is from RefSeq and is a predicted model, not a curated record. NCBI's taxonomy places the organism in Eukaryota, Metazoa, Chordata, Aves, Psittaciformes, Psittacidae. The transcript has 3 exons.